This is a long non-coding RNA of Parus major (Great Tit), 2787 nucleotides long. RefSeq lists it as uncharacterized. The record is from RefSeq and is a predicted model, not a curated record. The transcript has 3 exons. NCBI's taxonomy places the organism in Eukaryota, Metazoa, Chordata, Aves, Passeriformes, Paridae.
UGUAGUUCUAAUGAUUGACUUAAGCAAACACUUGCCAGCUUUUAACAUUAUCCUAUUGGCUAAAAAGUUUUUCAAAAGGCAUUGUAACCAAGAGAAUUUUGGCUGUUGUUGUAAUGGCAUGAGAUUUCAACAUCUUUUUUGCCUCACCUUGUACCAAUGAGGCUGAGGCUGAAUGAAAAGCUCAAGGAUUAGGCACUUUCCUGUUAUUGACAAACGGAGAUCCAACAGAGGACUAUCCAGAAUAAGAUUGUUGCAUUGUAGAUCCUGCCUGCAGUAAGAGACCCUCAUGGACCCUUAAACUCAAGCUGUUAGAGAAGGUCAGAUUUUGUUGACAUUCAGGAACUGAUGAAAUCUUGUCUGGAAUCUAUCAUCCUAGUCUGUCUCCAUACUGUACAACAGAAGACAAAAUGUUUCCAGCUCUGUGAGACACUGAAUCAACCACUCCUUCACAUCUGGAUCUGUAUGGGGAACUGCAUGAGAAGCUAUUACACAGUUUGAAAACUGAGACCUUUCCUAAAGACCUUCCAACUAGAAAUCAGCUGGGUUCAUUUCAGCAACUCCAGAGAACCUUCUUAAAAUUAAAAGGUAUAAAUAGUGAUACAGAAAGAGGAGGACAUAACAGCCAGUUCUCCAAGGAGGGAUAUUCUCACAUACUUUACCACUGCCAGAGUAUAGUAUUCCUCCUCAUCCCUUUGUGCCAGCAGCUUUGGAAUGGCCAAGCCAAGGGAAGAAGACACAUAGACUCUGUGAAGCAGAAGAAGGAAGAUAUUUAGAGAAGAGCAAAAGCAAAAGAUGGAAAUCAGGACAGGAGGAGGACAAUUUUGGGUCUCAUGCCUUGUCUUCAAAACUAGAGUACAUCUAGACUCCAUAAUUCCUGAUCUUCACAACAGAAUAAACAUUUCUCUCUACUCCUAGAAAGAGGCACUACCGUUGAUGGGCUCAGCUUUGGCCAGUGGCACAUCUGUCUUGGAGCUAUCUGGCAUUGGAUCAACUGGAUGUAGGGGAAGCUUCUGGCAGUUUCUCACAGAAAGCACUGCUGAAAUGCUCACUCUGUCCCCCACCCUGCUGCUACUGAAAGUUUGCCACACAGACUGGAGGAAAAGCAAGACAAAUAGCGUCAAGAUAUGCUGCUGUCACGUAAAUGUGUAUACACAGAACUUCAGUAAGAAUGACUUGAAUCCAAGAUUUGCACUGUAUACAUUUUGAGAAAGUCAUCUUGACUUUCUAACCAAAUUGUUUUCUUGUGUUUUGGCCCCAAACGAGCACUUUGAAAAGACCAGACAGUAAACUGCUUCCUUUAUAAUUCUGGGCUCUAACAGAAGUGUCAAGAAGGUGAUGAGAACAUAUUACACUCUCAUAAUAUAAGCCACAAGAAUCAUUUUAUAGCAAACCAUCUGUCAGCUAGUAGAGAAGGCAGUGUGGAGAUAUUUUAGUUUUCUUGAACUUAUUAUACAUCCUAACACACAUAGCAUGCCUUCAUAAAACAUAAUUAUGCACACUAAUAAGCAUUAAUAUAAGGUAAUUGUGUGUGUCCACCCAGGAUUCCAGCAUUGCUUCUGGAACUGUGGCACUGUGGACUUCCAAGGUUAGGAAAACACAAUGAUACUAACAGUUCCAAAAAUUCCCCCAAAAUAGACUGGUUUCUUGAGGGUGGGGCCAUUGCUGACAUAUUAAUUUAGCAGGAACACGGCAGAAAACAUGCCUGACUCUAUCACUGAUAUUCAUCCCAGCAACCAAGAGCUACUAAAACAUGACUAUUGGUGCCCAUAGGUGGGAGAAGCACUUCCAAAAAGAGGUUUUUAUUCCAUUUUAAGAUAGUUAAUUUAUCUCUGGAAUGAAUCACCUUUUAAAAAGUUUAAAAAUAAGAGAAAGAGAGAAAUUAUUCAGCUAGGACCAUGUAGUAAUGUAGUAUUUAUGUAGUAAAAAACACAAUAAGAUUUGACACUAAAUGUGAAAAAAACAGAAAAGAUUGCUUAUAUUUAGAAAGAUUGUAAAUAUUUGUGAGCCAGUAUCCUAACGUUUCCUCUUCAAAAUCUUAUUUUUCUUUUCAUUUAGGCUUGUACCUCUUGUAAUGGAUAAAAACAAAAACACAUUCAUCAAUAAAGUAUAAAUUAAAUAUGCUUAUUUUCUGUUCAGCUGGGCCCAGUGUAUCAGUGUUCUGAAUACUUGAAGUGCUUGUUCAUACAACAGUCGUCAGAUAUCUGUGGGACCACUUCUGUCACUAAAUGUUGAUUGAUUUGGUAUGAAUUUCUUUGAAAUAUGUUUACUUCAUUUAUCACCACUUGUUCAGGCCUCUAUAAAAUUAUCUAAGGAAAACUAAAAUAAAGGAGUAAUUUACUUACAAUGUUUUCUCAGUGGUAAAUCCCUUGUCUUAGUAAAACUCAUUACAGCCUUUUUCUCAUCUGUCCAAUAUAUUUUACUGCAAAAAGAUUUCCUCAAAUCCCCUAGAAGUUUUACAAUAAUGUUUGACAAGACAAAGUGGAAAAAGUAUUCACUUUGAAGUUCAUGAUGCAGCAAAAGAGAGCUGCUGAUACAUCCCUCUUGUAAACUCUACUAUUGGCAGCUGUUUUAGAAAGACCAUCUCCAUCUUGUUGUACCACCAAUAUAGUUUUCAUUCCUGACCAAACUGGGACACUAGUAUAUUCUAUUUUUUUCUUAACCCAGAGUGAAUCCUAUAUUUGGCCUAUUAGCUUCACCACAUGCUUAUGAAAAAUCGUUUACUUUUUUCUUCCAACUUUUAAAUUUUAAUUAAAUUCUUUUCCACCUGGAAUAUCUUGCUCUUUUGUU